AGGAGCAAAGAUAAAAACACAACGCGAGGUAAUCUUGUAGAACUGGUAGGUAGUCCAGUCGCACCGAUUUGGUGUAAGUAGCCCUCCCUCCUUGGGUCGUCCGUUCUUUGUGCAUUACAA
Molecule: non-coding RNA, 120 nt
Filed under: Lachnoclostridium sp.
Lineage: Bacteria; Bacillati; Bacillota; Clostridia; Lachnospirales; Lachnospiraceae
Description: Azaaromatic sequence
Rfam family: azaaromatic riboswitch aptamer (yjdF RNA)
Source: RNAcentral